AUGGUUUUGUGAUGUUUCUUCCCCGGGGGUGUUCAUCAGCAGAAAUCUGCUCGACAGACAUAUGGAGCUUUCAGUUUCAUCAAAUGAGCAGCUCACAGUUCUGCUUGUCUCAAGCGCAACAAUGGUCAAAUCUCUCUCCGCAUAACAGCACAGGCUGGCAGGCAUGCGAGCGGCACAUUCAUCAGCUCACACCUGGCACCGUUCAGCAGACGCCUACAAUCUUGUCUCUUAAUUGAAUCUCUGUUUACGCCACGCUGCCAGUUCUCAGGCUGAUUCCCUCGUCAUGGAAACGCACAGUUUGUGGAAGACACUAGCGCUGGAGAUAAGAUACUCUACACAGAGUCAACAGCCAUCGGGUGGGCCAGAAUGUCAUCCCUCUGUCCUGCCCACGGGAGGAGGUGAGAUCAAUAGAGCUGAUGUAUGAGGCCGGCCGGUCUCUGACAGUUCAGAUGAGAGCUGAUCUCUGUGUGUGCCGGAGAGUUAACUACACGGGAGACGUCACAUGGCACCACCGUCCUCCCUCCGAGUUGACGUGGACCAAAUUACAUGACCCUCAUCAUUAGACCGGCGGAGGAGAGGUGGACAUGCUGACCUUGAGCUAUUUUCCAGCUCACAGGACCAUAACAGCCGUCGAGAGGGAGUGAAAGCGUAUGAUGGGCUGUGCUUUAAGAGUUUUAUGAGGCAGAGCAGGACAAUGGAAGACGUUUGGGACAGCAGGUCUGACAGGGCACCUCGAGGGGAGAUGUUGACUCUUGGCUCUUGUGAAUCUGUCAAGAGAAAUGUUAAUGUAGUCCAUUGUGAUGGCGUGAGGACAUCAGAGGUGAAAGCUCACAGCAGACAGACAGCGAGAGACUGUGACCACAUCACAGCCAGACAGAUCACUGCCGGAGGACGAGAGAAACGCUGCUGUGGGAUUCCAAGGACACAGACUGAGGACGGGCUGUAAGAAACCACAGAUGGUGACCAGCUACCUGCAGGGAAGAAUCUUAAACUGAAAUGAGCUUCGCCUUCAGUGGGGGAUAUGAUACAAAUACCUGCCACAUCAGAAAUCAGGAACAGUCGUCCGCCGUUCUGUGACCCCAGGCAAGCGGUGGUCCACUUUUACAAAGACUUUAGAUCAUAUACAGUGUUCAUUUAACAUUUCUGAUUGGCUCUGCUAACUUGUUUAAUGCCCCAAUAUUAGUAGUCCAUAAUGUAAAUUUUGUUUUAAACUACAUUUCCCAGUCACAGUGUUGACCAUAAACACGCUAUCGAAAACAUGUAACCUUUUAGAAAGUGUGUCCUUGUAAAUGCAAACACUACACAUACAGUAUAUUUACGCAAAGUGUAUUUUAUAUACAGGAUAAUUAUAGUGUACUUAUUAAAAUGAAUUUGAAAUAUAUUUAUUUUUUGUAAGGUCAAAGAACCUUUAAUGCAACAGAAAGGUUGUGUGAAUGUCAAAGGUUCUUUAUAGGAACGUAACGUUAAAACAUUUUUUGGAAUUUUUUAAAAGUGUAUUUUGUUUAAAUGCUCUGAUGUCUGAGCUCAAACUACCUAUUAUAUUCAUACCAGACCAU
This is a long non-coding RNA of Triplophysa rosa, 1556 nucleotides long. RefSeq lists it as uncharacterized. The record is from RefSeq and is a predicted model, not a curated record. The transcript has 4 exons. Lineage: Eukaryota; Metazoa; Chordata; Actinopteri; Cypriniformes; Nemacheilidae.